RNAcentral lists this long non-coding RNA (221 nucleotides) under Nicotiana benthamiana. RNAcentral's name for it is "long non-coding RNA (NBEN_LNC000635)". Lineage: Eukaryota; Viridiplantae; Streptophyta; Magnoliopsida; Solanales; Solanaceae. The record is from RNAcentral.
GAAACACAAGGAUGUGCAAGCUCAUUUGAUUCUUCAAGCUCAAGUGAGGGUAGUCAGGGGCAGCCUGGUUCAGAAGCUGGUAUACCUGGGGUAACAAAGGACCAAUAUGCACAGCUCCUGAUGCUUCUUCAACAGACUCAGCUUUCAGAAUCUCAGAUUCAACCAAACAUUAUGGGGUCUGCAAACUUUGCUGGUACUCUUCCUUCUAAUUUCAGUCCUUU